CCUUUGUUGUCAAAAGAUGGGCUGAAUUCAAAUAGCCCUAUUAGGAAGACGUCAUCCUGAUUGACAGCUCCCUCUGCCUCUGACUAGCAAUCAGUGUGGCCGGAGGCAGUCCUUGUUGUAGUCUUCUGAAGGAAGAGAGUGGCAAUUGCCAUUUUGUUCACUCUUGGACAGUGUGCUGAGAGCAGAGCAUGCUGAGAGACCAUUUAUUUUGUUUAUUGAGCCUCAGAUUAUAAUAAUUUCUAGAUACAAGUGACUGUGCCUUGGAGCAGUUGGUCAUGGACCUGACUAAAGGGGACACAACCUUGAGCUUAAUCCUGAGUGGUAUCCCAGAUAAGGAGUGAGAUGCAAGUAUUCUCUAACACAUCAGGAACAUGCUGCUAUCAAAUUCAACACAUUCUUCAGAGGACAUCUGAGGAACUAAAUCAAAUGGAGCAUUGCAACAGCUGCCACAGCAGCACCCUUAGCAGCAAGCAUAGCCACGAACUCAACUAGAGCAACUUCAGCCACAUUUUGACUGAGUAUACCUUGCAAUGCAGAGCAGACCAGAGCAAAGAUUAGGCAGAUGCAAAGGAACUAGACUUCUAUGUCCUGCUAGUUUUCAAGACAAUUGCAUGACAACAAUUCAGUGGCAUCCUACUUACUGCAGCUGUUUCUUCUUUUCUUUUUUAAUGUUACUUUACCUGGUGACAGAGCUCUUCCCACUGUCUAUGCAGAAGCUCGAUGCGCUCACUGAGAACUGAGAUGUCAUCUGCACUGAUACACAUUGACAGGGUCUCCUUCAACAAAAUCAGGUGGGCAAGAUCAUCUGUCCACCCCUCAGCAGCACUCUCUAGUUCCUAAAUUUUAAGAAGAAUUUCUAUGAAGCACAGGGAAACUUGUGAAUUAGACUCUUUUUAAAGUAAUAUAAUGUAACAUAAUGUCUAGUUGGCUCUUAACUGUUCAGCAUUUAAAAAACCUUCCAAUCAUAGAAAGAGCUACUUGAGUGUGAACCUACUUUCAGUAAGUUGCUAUUUCAACCAUAAUUCAAUUUAGUGGGAGAAUACCUGCCACAUGAACCUGACAGAGGUUGCUGCUGCUAUCAUGGCUCAAAUAUGGGAGGAGGAAAGGGAUAUUUUACAAGGGUUCAGAGGUUCAGUGAAGCCCAUCUGGGCUGUAAGCCAUUUACCAUGAGGAAAAAAAAUUGAGGCUAAAUUGUAAAUCUCACUGGAGGAUGUCUAUGCAAAUUUAUGUUCCUGUAUUUAGAUGGGGUGGUCCAGAAAGUGUAAGGUUUUGUGAGAUUUGCUGAGGCCAAUCAAGAAUGAAGCAUCAUGAGAAUCAGGUAUACUGAGAUCCUAGGGACAGUUGGAGGGAACCAGGGCAACUGAUAGGAUCUCCAGGCCCAAGACCAUAAAGCUCAAAGAGCUUAUAUGUCUCCCAUCCAGCACUGAUAAGAUCCACAACUGCUUAGCUGCGGCAUUGCUCCUUUUUAUUCUCUCACCUUUUAAGAGAAUGGGAGUUCCAAGAGUUAUACUUCCUUAUUCUUUUCUCUGUUUAUUAUUGUCAGCAUAACUGCAGGUGAGACUCCUACAUUUCCCUAUCCCCCUGUGGAGUUAUUUUCUGCCAGUUACUGUGAGUUCACAGCACUUGAUAUCCAGCCUGCAAUGUUUAGACUACACGUCUGUAGAUAAGGUUUGACUUCAACAGUAAGCAAUAUGAAAAUUCAAGAGCUCCCUAAAGAACAGGCAUACAUAAAUUCUGGAGCAGCAUCUGGUAUAUGAAUGGCAAUUAAAUAUAGAUCAUGAGGACACAAUCAGGUACUGGGUUGCAGAUUUUUUAUAGUUAACCAUUAAUUAGAAUAUAGGAACCACUGAUGUGUGAAAACAACCUUUUCUAGUAUUCAUUUUUUCACCUUCAGUGAAGUACUGCAAUUAAUUCCAGCAUUAUACAAUUCAAGAAAAUGCUCCUUAAUUAAAAUGGUAAAGUAACUACACAUUUGGAAAGAUUUACCUGCAAU
Molecule: long non-coding RNA, 1993 nt
Organism: Hemicordylus capensis (graceful crag lizard)
Lineage: Eukaryota; Metazoa; Chordata; Lepidosauria; Squamata; Cordylidae
Exons: 6
Source: RefSeq, a predicted model, not a curated record